CCGUAAUAGGCAUCCCAAGUUCGACCAGGAUCGGAUACCACCCUUAUUACCCAACCCAACCUCCAACCACCUUCCCUGAGUUGGCUGACUUUUGAGUGUAUAAUAAGAUAGUGUAAUAGAUCACAUAAAAACUCUGGGAUUUGAUCGUAAUCGUGACCAACCAAACUAGGUCCAACCAUCCAACCAUACCAAACCAUACCAAAGACCAUAAACCA
Molecule: long non-coding RNA, 215 nt
Filed under: Capsicum annuum
Lineage: Eukaryota; Viridiplantae; Streptophyta; Magnoliopsida; Solanales; Solanaceae
Description: long non-coding RNA (CANN_LNC010008)
Source: RNAcentral